RNAcentral lists this long non-coding RNA (488 nucleotides) under Homo sapiens (human). RNAcentral describes it as "HSALNT0028634". Lineage: Eukaryota; Metazoa; Chordata; Mammalia; Primates; Hominidae. The record is from RNAcentral.
AAUACCUUCACAGAUUAUUUCCCAUUUUUAACAAGUAUCUCCCUUAUCAUGAGAAAAAAAAAUGUGAUUUUUCCUUCUAGCCCAUAUUUAACCAUCAUAUUUGUGCAUAUGAUUGCAGCUCUGCUGAAAGGACUUGGGAGUGAGCUGCCAGGCUACAGGGGAUUGAAUCGAAAGCCCCCUAAUGGUUAAAGUGUCCAUUAGCUUCUCUACACUUAGCAUCCAUCAGAGAGAAGACAGGCUGGGAGCCCCGGGCGAAUUUCUAACUAGCCUAAUGAGGAGAGAGAUUCUGGGAGCAAAAAAAGUUCAUUUGCUGAAUUUCCAGCAAGAAGUCACUUCAAUAUUGCUUCUAGGAAACACUGACAGGCUUUGUUGGAUUAGCAAGCUAAACAGAGAAAAAGAUAACACUCAAGAAACUGCCUAUAUGUAAGAGAUUCCUUUGAGAACUUUCAAAUGGCUCCUUUCUACAAAAGACCUGAGAAUACUUAACC